This 77-nucleotide transfer RNA is filed under the name Acinetobacter baumannii. RNAcentral describes it as "tRNA-Met". It matches the Rfam family "tRNA". Rfam says of the family: Transfer RNA (tRNA) molecules are approximately 80 nucleotides in length. The record is from RNAcentral. Lineage: Bacteria; Pseudomonadati; Pseudomonadota; Gammaproteobacteria; Moraxellales; Moraxellaceae.
GGUUAUGUAGCUCAGUUGGUUAGAGCACCGCACUCAUAAUGCGGGGGUCACAAGUUCAAGUCUCGUCAUAGCCACCA